RNAcentral lists this ribosomal RNA (466 nucleotides) under uncultured bacterium. RNAcentral describes it as "partial 16S ribosomal RNA". It matches the Rfam family "Bacterial small subunit ribosomal RNA", at positions 29 to 506 of the family's 1533-position model. The record is from RNAcentral.
ACGAACGCUGGCGGCGUGCUUAACACAUGCCAGUCGAACGGAAAGGCCCUGCUUUUGUGGGGUGCUCGAGUGGCGAACGGGUGAGUAACACGUGAGUAACCUGCCCUUGACUUUGGGAUAACUUCAGGAAACUGGGGCUAAUACCGGAUAGGAGCUCCUGCUGCAUGGUGGGGGUUGGAAAGUUUCGGCGGUUGGGGAUGGACUCGCGGCUUAUCAGCUUGUUGGUGGGGUAGUGGCUUACCAAGGCUUUGACGGGUAGCCGGCCUGAGAGGGUGACCGGCCACAUUGGGACUGAGAUACGGCCCAGACUCCUACGGGAGGCAGCAGUGGGGAAUAUUGCACAAGGGGCGGAAGCCUGAUGCAGCAACGCCGCGUGCGGGAUGACGGCCUUCGGGUGGGAAACCGCUUUCGCCUGUGACGAAGCGUGAGUGACGGUAAUGGGUAAAGAAGCACCGGCUAACUACGU